GAUGAACGCUGGCGGCGUGCCUAAUACAUGCAAGUCGAGCGAACGGACGAGAAGCUUGCUUCUCUGAUGUUAGCGGCGGACGGGUGAGUAACACGUGGAUAACCUACCUAUAAGACUGGGAUAACUUCGGGAAACCGGAGCUAGUACCGGAUAAUAUUUUGAACCGCAUGGUUCAAAAGUGAAAGACGGUCUUGCUGUCACUUAUAGAUGGAUCCGCGCUGCAUUAGCUAGUUGGUAAGGUAACGGCUUACCAAGGCAACGAUGCAUAGCCGACCUGAGAGGGUGAUCGGCCACACUGGAACUGAGACACGGUCCAGACUCCUACGAGAGGCAGCAGUAGGGAAUCUUCCGCAAUAGGCGAAAGCCUGACGGAGCAACGCCGCGUGAGUGAUGAAGGUCUUCGGAUCGUAAAACUCUGUUAUUAGGGAAGAACAUAUGUGUAAGUAACUGUGCACAUCUUGACGGUACCUAAUCAGAAAGCCACGGCUAACUACGUG
Molecule: ribosomal RNA, 497 nt
Filed under: uncultured bacterium
Lineage: Bacteria
Description: partial 16S ribosomal RNA
Rfam family: Bacterial small subunit ribosomal RNA
Source: RNAcentral